GGGUCAAGUGAUGAGUAUAAACUGCAAUAAUAUCAUGGGAGUAAUACUCUUACGAUACUUCUUUAUUACUAAUUUGUUUACU
Molecule: small nucleolar RNA, 82 nt
Organism: Panicum virgatum (switchgrass)
Lineage: Eukaryota; Viridiplantae; Streptophyta; Magnoliopsida; Poales; Poaceae
Product: small nucleolar RNA Z199
Exons: 1
Source: RefSeq, a predicted model, not a curated record